CAGUCGCCGCGGGAAAACCAGCACCUCGAGUGGUCAGGAGGUUUAUUGGGCCUAAAGCAUCCGUAGCCGGUUGCAUAAGUUUUCGGUUAAAUCUAUGCGCUUAACGUAUAGGCCGCCGAAAAUACUGUGCAGCUAGGGAGUGGGAGAGGUACACGGUACUCGAUAGGAAGGGGUAAAAUCCUUUGAUCUAUUGAUGACCACCUGUGGCGAAGGCGGUGUACCAGAACACGUUCGACGGUGAGGGAUGAAAGCUGGGGGAGCAAACCGGAUUAGAGACCCGCGUAGUCCCUGUCUCUUAUAC
Molecule: ribosomal RNA, 301 nt
Filed under: uncultured bacterium
Lineage: Bacteria
Description: partial 16S ribosomal RNA
Rfam family: Archaeal small subunit ribosomal RNA
Source: RNAcentral